This 304-nucleotide unclassified non-coding RNA is filed under the name Bombus terrestris (buff-tailed bumblebee). RNAcentral's name for it is "misc RNA ENSBTSG00005038845.1". The record is from RNAcentral. Lineage: Eukaryota; Metazoa; Arthropoda; Insecta; Hymenoptera; Apidae.
UCUUCCGGGAGAAUACGCGAAACAACCGAGGUUGCAGGUAGAGUUUACGAGCAAAAGCCGCGCAAAGCUCCUAUGAAAAUUCAAAUGCUACCGUGUAAUAGUUCGGCUGGAUGUUUAUCUGCGACGAGAGGGGACCGAUUCGAUGCAUAGUGGAAGUGCGAACUGUUAAUAUAAACUGCUCUGUUGAAGUCUGGAAUAUCAAUUUUGUUGAACGUUCUACGAAAUCGUCACUUAUUUGUACACCUCUUCUACUUGCGAUUUUCGUGACAUGAUUUCAGAUGUAACUGUCUAUUAUGUUUCUAUU